AUAUGAUAUAAAAAACACGAUAUUUAAAAUUAACACUCAUCUUAUUCAUACUUACAAGAAAAGAAUACUUUUUUUACAUCCAAGAACUACCAAACAUACAAAUCUAAGUUUUACUUCCAUUUUCUCACAGUUGUUUUGGUAAGUUUUUGAAAAUUCAACUAAAAGGGAUAAUUUUGGAGGUGCUAUUCUGAACUUGCCUAUUAAGAAGAUCAUGUAUUUUUCGAUUCUCAAAUCCAUAAAA
Vicia villosa (hairy vetch) is the source of this 241-nucleotide long non-coding RNA. RefSeq lists it as uncharacterized. The record is from RefSeq and is a predicted model, not a curated record. The transcript is spliced from 3 exons. NCBI's taxonomy places the organism in Eukaryota, Viridiplantae, Streptophyta, Magnoliopsida, Fabales, Fabaceae.